This 157-nucleotide ribosomal RNA is filed under the name uncultured bacterium. Its description in RNAcentral is "partial 16S ribosomal RNA". It matches the Rfam family "Bacterial small subunit ribosomal RNA", at positions 356 to 504 of the family's 1533-position model. The record is from RNAcentral.
GGGGAAUAUUGGACAAUGGGCGAAAGCCUGAUCCAGCCAUGCCGCGUGUGUGAAGAAGGCCUUUUGGUUGUAAAGCACUUUAAGCGAGGAGGAGGCUACUUGGAUUAAUACUCUAGGAUAGUGGACGUUACUCGCAGAAUAAGCACCGGCUAACUCU